Transfer RNA from Pseudoxanthomonas suwonensis, 72 nucleotides. It matches the Rfam family "tRNA". Rfam says of the family: Transfer RNA (tRNA) molecules are approximately 80 nucleotides in length. Their secondary structure includes four short double-helical elements and three loops (D, anti-codon, and T loops). Lineage: Bacteria; Pseudomonadati; Pseudomonadota; Gammaproteobacteria; Lysobacterales; Lysobacteraceae. The record is from Rfam.
GGGCGGUUAGCUCAGCGGUAGAGCACUACCUUGACAUGGUAGGGGUCACAGGUUCGAACCCUGUACCGCCCA